Marmota flaviventris (yellow-bellied marmot) is the source of this 1231-nucleotide non-coding RNA. The record is from RefSeq and is a predicted model, not a curated record. NCBI's taxonomy places the organism in Eukaryota, Metazoa, Chordata, Mammalia, Rodentia, Sciuridae.
AUUCCUACAUGCUGGCCGCGGAGCCUCCCCUUAGGCACGUGCAUGUUCUUUGUUAGGUUCCGUGAGGACAUUUGAAUCAACAUCUGCAGACACCCGUCAACCUCAUGUCUGUGGUACGAUUCAUGUGUGGUGUCACAGCUGUGCAUACCUUCGCGUCACUCGUUCAGCGCUUAGCACACAGUACCCCAAGAAAAGCUCGUGAACACUGCCCUCCCGAGUUUUCACACCAUCACUGUAAUGGCCUCCUGCCCCACGUCAGCGCUUCUAGUGACGCAGCACAAGCUCAGUGUGAGAAUUUUCUGCACAGUGGUGCCCUCAGGACCACUCUGGGCAGCUGGGAGUACCUGUCACCCACAGUUGAAAGGUUUCAUUACCACCAUGAGACUGGGGAAGAACCUGUUGAGGUGUUCUGAAAGAUGGCCUCCUCCACUGCAGAGCAGUGCCCUGGAAGACCAGGUGACCAAAGCCACUGAAACCAGGGACACGGACACCGCCCUAGGCAAACAUGCUCCAUGAAGGGCCAGAGUCAACACGUUAGGCUUUGCAGGCCAACAGGAGAAACUGAAGCGUACUUGACCUCUCCUGGCCUGCGGGAAGAGCGAUGAAGAGUGAGAUUUUGCCCAGCUUGCAGGCUGUUGGCCUCACCCAGAUUCCCAGAUGUAACAGGACUGAGGCCCCCUGGGUGAGAGACGUGGCACAGUCAACUGUUCAAGAGCAGAAGCAGUAGCCAGACUGCUGGCGCUGGGGAUCUCUGAGGGAGCUGCGAGGUGCUCUGACCACAGGUCUCACGCCUGGGCAGGAAGUCGGGAACCUGGGAGGCAGAUGUUCACACCAAAACCAAACUCUGCAGCCUGGUGCCUCAGAGGCUCUGGUGGAGAGAGUACACAGUGAGCAGAACUGCUCUCAGCCCUCAUCUUCAUUCAGGUCCUCUCCCCCAGGGCCAUUCCUGCUAAGACCCAGCCAGAGCAAGGCCAGGCAGAGUCUACGGAAAAGCCAUCUGGGCUAAUGACUUCCAGCUGGAACAGCCUGAGGGCUUUGUGGGAAACACACAGAGCAGGGGAGAAAGGCCAACAGAUAACACACAGGCACACCUGGGCACUACUCAAGAGGCCUGGACACACGGCCAAAAAAAAAAACCCACUUGCUGUGAAACACAAGGGCCUGUCUAUCAAUAAACCUGGGGUUAACAGCAAGACCUGCAUAAGAAAACCAGCCAUGAGAUGGGAGGGGA